This 254-nucleotide ribosomal RNA is filed under the name uncultured bacterium. Its description in RNAcentral is "partial 16S ribosomal RNA". It matches the Rfam family "Bacterial small subunit ribosomal RNA", at positions 524 to 776 of the family's 1533-position model. The record is from RNAcentral.
UACGAAGGGGGCUAGCGUUGCUCGGAAUUACUGGGCGUAAAGCGCACGUAGGCGGCUCUUUAAGUCGGGGGUGAAAUCCUGGAGCUCAACUCCAGAACUGCCUUCGAUACUGGAGAGCUUGAGUUCGGGAGAGGUGAGUGGAACUGCGAGUGUAGAGGUGAAAUUCGUAGAUAUUCGCAAGAACACCAGUGGCGAAGGCGGCUCACUGGCCCGAUACUGACGCUGAGGUGCGAAAAGCGUGGGGAGCAAACAGG